AAGAAGUUAAGUUCUUUUAGAAUUUUUCUAGUAGAUUUUCUGCUUUUCACCAGAAAACCCAU
Small nuclear RNA from Callithrix jacchus (white-tufted-ear marmoset), 62 nucleotides. Its record names the gene U7. It matches the Rfam family "U7 small nuclear RNA". From Rfam's summary of the family: Animal histone pre-mRNAs are spliced by a different mechanism than nuclear pre-mRNAs and self-splicing introns. Lineage: Eukaryota; Metazoa; Chordata; Mammalia; Primates; Cebidae. The record is from Ensembl.